UCCUUAGCUUCCUAUUGCAGAGUUCUUCAAGAACAAAUGCAGGCAUGCUCAGAUCUGAUGCUUUUGUUGUGAGCCCUUGCAACAACAUGCAUUGCAGAUCUAGCCGAGAUUCAGGAAGAAAAAUCUAGCAUACAGCGGGGAUUGUCAAUCCAACCAAUAUUUAUCUUACAUCAGACAGUUUAACUUCAGCAAAGGAAGGAGAAACAGAGAAAGUAGAGGCAUAUACAUGGUACAUCAGACCCCAGUAUCUCUACUGCGGAAGCAGGAAACAAGCAUGUUCCAGAGAGGCUAGUCCUACAAGAAACGUCAAGAGUACUUGUAUCCAUCAAAACAGAUUCCGGAAGGUAACUGCAGUCAACUUACGACUUGUAAACUUAUGUUAGCAUUCCUGCAUGACUGCCAAACCUCCAUCAGACCUAUUGAUCCACUUGAGGUUCUACUACCAUUGUUAUGUCAUUCCAACUUCAUUCGCAUUUCUGUCCUAAGCAAAUCUUCACCAGCUCAUGCAGGCGUUUCUUUUUUCAAGAACUAAAGUGUCACUUGAUUCCCAUGACCCCUGAUGGAAAAUAGUCAAUCAAGGAAUCCAGGACAUCCAAUUUGCGUCCUUCAGGAGAUGAAUCAGCAACAAAAAUGGCUAGCAAAUUUCUUGCCCUGGAUAUCAAGUCGCUGAGAGUAGGAUCAAUUGAAUAUUCAGCAGACAACGAGCCUUCGAAACCGCCCAAGCAGGUGAUGUAAUUUGUGAGUGAACUGCUCGGCCAUGUAUGGAUAUCUGCAGAUGCUGAGGUGGAAAAAGCCUUGGAUUGAGUUGAUUCGAAUCUGGCAAAUUAUACAUCUAUAUAAUCCACAGACGUUUCCAUCAACUCCACGCAAUCUGCCAAAGCCGCUUCUUCUCUAGGAUGGUUCACCCUGUGGCUCACAUCCUUGGCGGCAUCUAUAGCAUUUUCCGUGCAGAUCGCCAUCUUUUUCACGAACACUUGGACCAACUUGUUGUCACUCAUGAAAGAGGCCGCACCAUAGGGAAUGCUUUCUGAAACAAUGGCUCGAGCCUGAUCUUGGGCCCUGCCACAGAUAUGCACAAGAGGGGCAUUAGCAAAAUUGCUGGUCUUUGAUAAAGUGGUCUGUGAUUAUGGCUGAUGAGAAGAUGAAUGCAUAGUAUAGAGACUUGGAGAGAAUCAGACGGAGAAUUUUUUAAUGAGAGGCUUGUGUGUUUAGCAAUGGCUGAGUGGUGAUGUGCCAUUCUGCGUGAGUUUGGGCUUAUUGAGUUGUGUUCCUUUUACUCACUCUAUCAAUGUAAAGUCCAGUAUUAUUGACAA
Molecule: long non-coding RNA, 1313 nt
Organism: Eucalyptus grandis
Lineage: Eukaryota; Viridiplantae; Streptophyta; Magnoliopsida; Myrtales; Myrtaceae
Exons: 2
Source: RefSeq, a predicted model, not a curated record